GACGAACGCUGGCGGCGUGCUUAACACAUGCAAGUCGAACGGUAAGGCCCUUCGGGGUACACGAGUGGCGAACGGGUGAGUAACACGUGGGUGAUCUGCCCUGCACUUCGGGACGAGCCUGGGAAACUGGGUCUAAUACCGGGUAGGACCACUGCCUGCAUGGGUGGUGGUGGAAAGCUUUUGCGGUGUGGGAUGGGCCCGCGGCCUAUCAGCUUGUUGGUGGGGUGAUGGCCUACCAAGGCGACGACGGGUAGCCGGCCUGAGAGGGUGGCCGGCCAGGCUGGGACUGAGGUACGGCCCAGAGUCCUACGGGAGGCAGCAGUGGGGAAUAUUGCACAAUGGGCGCAAGCCUGAUGCAGGGACGCCGCGUGAGGGAUGACGGCCUUCGGGUUGUAAACCUCUUUCAGCACCGACGAAGCGCAAGUGACGGUAGGUGCAGAAGAAGGACCGGCCAACUACGUGCCAGCCGCCGCAGUAA
RNAcentral lists this ribosomal RNA (478 nucleotides) under uncultured bacterium. Its description in RNAcentral is "partial 16S ribosomal RNA". It matches the Rfam family "Bacterial small subunit ribosomal RNA", at positions 28 to 523 of the family's 1533-position model. The record is from RNAcentral.